GACCUCAGGUCAGGCGGGGCUACCCGCUGAA
This 31-nucleotide ribosomal RNA is filed under the name Swainsona formosa. RNAcentral's name for it is "partial 26S ribosomal RNA". The record is from RNAcentral. RNAcentral also lists the same sequence under 5 other names. Lineage: Eukaryota; Viridiplantae; Streptophyta; Magnoliopsida; Fabales; Fabaceae.